ACCCACAGCCAUAUCACCCUGCAGCCCAAGACUGGUUGCCCACUGAAGCUAAGCAGGGCUGAGCCUGGUCAGGACUUUGAUGGGAGACCUCCUGGGAAAACUAGGUUGCUGUUGGAA
This 117-nucleotide ribosomal RNA is filed under the name Sinocyclocheilus grahami. Lineage: Eukaryota; Metazoa; Chordata; Actinopteri; Cypriniformes; Cyprinidae. The record is from RNAcentral.